CUGAUCCAGUCUGCUGUAUUCUCCUGGAUACUGUGGUUGGCAGAACAAAGCAAUACGAACAGUGAAUUUCCAAAGAUUCCAAGUGUCUGACAUCUCUUUGUCUGCAAGGGACUGAAAUGUUGUUGUGCUUUUGUUAUUGUAGGAGUCAUCAACAUCAGAGUAAGGGCCAUCCUUGUUUGCAGAUUUGCUAAAAUUUUCUUAGAUCAAGUUUGAAAGUAGGGACCAUUAAUACAGUAAAUCUCUGAAAAAGUUGUCACCCAGUUUCAGUAACCUGUUUUCGUUGGGAUGCCUGAAGGACUAGGUUUUCAAGACUUGUGAGUUGUACCACAGAAGACUAAUACCACACAUCUUAGUUGUCUACAUUCCGUACGCAGGUUUUGACAGGAAGGGCCAGAAAGGAGCUCCUCUUAGCUACAAUUGGUUCAAAAUAUAAGCGCCUGGAUGGGUUUAUGCUCUGGGUUGAUGUUGUAAAAUCAUUCAGAUAGAUUUACCAGGAUUCAUAACAAUGACAGCUGCUAAUGUUUCCUGUAAACCUGAUCAGAGUAUGUGGCUUUCUCAGGAUAAAUCAGGAAAGGAGAAGUAAAGGAAAGCUGCUCAAGUAACAUAUUGGGAGGUGAAAAGAAUCCAAUAAUGAUAUGAGUGCAGAAAGAAAUGCUCUUUUUUCCUUUUAGCUAGGGGCCUUCAUGUCAUUUAUUGACUCUGUGACAAGGGGAAUGAGUUUAGGAAUCUAUGUACCAACCAAUUUAAAUUUCAUUUAGUGAAUGGAGUGGAGAUAAUAAUAAAUGAUUAAUAAGAUGUUCCUGUGUCUUAUUCUUUUUCUACUUGUGAGUUAUGAACUUGUGAUUCCUUUCACAGUGCCUUUUUCCAUAGAAUGACAACUUUGGGAACCUUUCCUGAGUUUAUAAUCUGAUGACUG
RNAcentral lists this long non-coding RNA (916 nucleotides) under Aquilegia coerulea. Its description in RNAcentral is "long non-coding RNA (ACOE_LNC000325)". Lineage: Eukaryota; Viridiplantae; Streptophyta; Magnoliopsida; Ranunculales; Ranunculaceae. The record is from RNAcentral.